Long non-coding RNA from Mercenaria mercenaria, 1737 nucleotides. RefSeq lists it as uncharacterized. The record is from RefSeq and is a predicted model, not a curated record. NCBI's taxonomy places the organism in Eukaryota, Metazoa, Mollusca, Bivalvia, Venerida, Veneridae. The transcript is spliced from 3 exons.
UUGUAACACACAGUAGCAAGGUUUAAUGUGUAACAUAAAGUGGCAAGGUCUCAAAGUCAUAUAUUUAGCUCACACACUCCUUCUCUGUGAUAAUACCAAUAGAAUGAAAUUUCAGUCUUUUCUUCUCCACGAUACCAACUGAUUGAAACCCUGCACUCUUCUUUCCCGUGAUACCAGCUGAAUGAAACCUCACACAUUCCUUUCCCACGAUAAUACCAGCUGAAUGAAACCUCACACAUUCCUUUCCCAUGAUAAUACCAGCUGAUUGAAAAACUGCACAUUCCUUUCCCAGGACAAUACCAGCUGAAUGAAACCCUGCACAUUCUUUUCCCAAGAUAAUACCAGCUGAAUGAAACCUCACACAUUUCUUUCCCUUGAUAAUACCAGCUGAUUGAAAAACUGCACAUUCCUUUCCCAGGACAAUACCAGCUGAAUGAAACCUCACACAUUCCUUUCCCAUGAUAAUACCAGCUGAAUGAAACCACACACAUUACUUUCCCAAGAUAGUACUAGCUGAUUGAAACCCUGCACAUUCCUUUCCCAAGAUAAUACCAGCUGAAUGAAACCUCACACAUUCCUUUCCCAUGAUAAUACCAGCUGAUUAAAACCCUGCACAUUCCUUUCACGUGAUAAUACCAACUGGUUGAAACCACACAUUUCUUUCCCAUGAUAAUACCAACUGAUUGAAACCACACAUUCCUUUCCCAUGAUAAUACAAGGUCAGAAGACUAAGAUCUAUUGCGUUGGAAGCCUUUAACGUCAUAAAAACAAGGUCCAUCAUACUUUAAUUAAAUAUAUUUAUUACUAUUUUAGGUACACAGACACAGCAGACAUUCCAAGGGUAAGAACCUCUAGCUGUGGCUGCUCUUCGUUUCGCGGCGACCAAUUUUUGUUGGAACUCUCUGCCACAAGAAACCAAUUCAACCAGUUCAAAAGUUUGGUCAAUACCUGGAGCAGAGAGGGCUGCACAUACACUGCCUAUUCUAGCUACUGAUUUGCUGCUUUAUGUUAUUUUGCUUGUUUUCUAUGUGCUAGGUUGCUUUAUGCUUUGAUGCUUUCUUUUAUAUGUGCCUAUUUCUUAAUUAUGCUUAUUUCUUUUUUUCUUGUUUUAUAUGUGUGUGCAUGUAUAUGCAUUGCUUUCAUGUGUGCUUUUGUAUUGCUUGAAGGUAGCUGCUUCCAGAAAUUAUCUUUUAUUUUAUGUCUUUUUAUGUUGCUUUAACAUGUCAUAUUUUAUGCAAGUUAAUUUAUUCAUGUCUUAACCAGUGUUUUGGUUGUUUUCUGUUUUCUGGUUAUUUAUAACUUCAGGUUUGAUUUUGAUGAAUGUGAGCAUGUAAUAGUGCAGUUGUGUCUAACAGUCAGCAUGAAUUAACUACAUGUACUCCCAAUUAAGAAGUGGCUAUGUAAAGGACACUGAUAUAAAGACAUUGCUGGAUGUAUUUCCUGGUGGCAACUUCAGACCAACAGAAGUGUUUGGGGUAGCAGUAUUUACCACUAUUGAUCUGGAAACCACUGACCUAAGAAAAUGUUGGAUGCUUUAAAAAUCAUCCCUUCACUGUACAGCUUUGUUGAUGAGAUGUAUAAGAAAGGAUACCACUGUCAGUAUGGAGGGAAAUAACCUUAAUGCUUAGAAGGAGGCGGAGAUGUCAGAUUCCUCUUCACCUCAAAGUCACCAUGACAACUAACAGCAACAUGAAAGGGGUGACAGUAUGGAUGAAAGUGGCUGGAAAAAAAAUUGCA